CCGAGUCUGCAGCCGGCGUCCACCGCUACAGCACGUUCGUCGUUCCUAGCCACGCGGCGUCUGCCGCCGCCGCGAUGCAGCCUUCCGUUAAUUUUUUAUUUAAAUUUCCACUUUCUUCGCCUUCACCCUCUCUCAACUAUCUUCAUCACAUAACCGCAAUCAUAAUUUAACAACUUUAAUUACAAUGGUCGUCCGUCGAAAACGCUCACGACAGACUGGAAGAUUUAGCCGCAAUAGCAUCACGCCGUGAACGUGCCGGAUAAUAUUUUGGAAUGAAAAAAUAUAACAAAAUAGAAACUAUUGAGACCUCAGAAAUGCAAACGCCUUUCAUCCAAUUCACCCGCACUCAAGCUCGACUCGGAGUCACGUUGGAAGCUACGCGUAGACUGAUGGUAAAAUCGGCAAAUUAAAGUCAAUCGAAGUCGGUCGCACAAACGGUCGUCGGAUCCGCCGAUCUCAACUACUCAGCUACUAUCUAUCCGUAUCGCGUUCAUGGCUAUAGUUUAUUUUUCGUUCCGAAACAUGAUAGGUAAUCUGAAUUGUGAAAAAUUUUUAUUUAAAAAGUUUAAAAAAAAAUACACAGCCAUAUAAUAUUAUUUAUAUCUUGGGCACGUGUGCAUUAUCAUUUCGUUUCAAUUUAACGCUACUUAUAGUUUUAAAAGCUGUAAUAGUAGUUUUUGUUUGUUCUCACAACAUUAUAGUAUUCAACCAAGAAUAACAAAACGAUGAAACAUAUGACUAACUUUAAGAUAAGUGUAAGACAAAAAAGGUCGGUCGGGCGUCUUAAUAAGAAAAUCCCCCCCUCAAAAAAAAAAAUCAAGCAAUACGCCGAUCGACUUUUCUUUUAGUACGUAAGAUUGAUUUACGAAGACUGAUCUUGUGUUACCCCACUUAAAACUGUUAAAUUACCACAUAAGUUUAUAAACGUAAGUAAUAUUGUAAAUAACACUACGUUUUUAGUAAUACGAAAACGUAUUGAGUAUAGGUACUAAUAAGUUAUUAAUAUUAUUGUUAUUAUUUUAACAUAAGUAUAAUUGAUAUAAUAUUUUAUUGUUUUAUACAAAAGCAAUGAAAUCACAAUGUCUUCCAUUAAAUUAAUAUUGUCUUAUUGAUAAUAAUAUUAUUGCUAGAUUAAGUGUACUGUAACGUAUGUACACUGGUAACGUUAAGUAUUAUUCACGCGUGUGUACGGUACAAUAUAAUAUACCUAAUAAUUGUAUUAUGUUUACUCGAUAGUAUAAUGACUGUAAUGUUUAAUUAUAAUAAUUUAUUUUUAAGUCUUUUACAUUAUAGGGUGGUUUAAGUAGGUUAUUAUAGUAUCGUUAUUAUUUUUUAAAUUUAAAAUAACUAAUGAUAAUUAAUAUAAAUUAUUUUAUUUAAUAAAUACUGGCCCUUUGAACCGGGAGUGACGUUUGACAAUAAAAAAUACAUUAGGUCCACGUGCCAGACAUAUUAUUAUUAUUAUUAUUAUUAUUAUUUUUAUCAUCAAUAUUAUUAAUUUUUAUGUUUUAGAUAUAGGUAGUUGUCAUUGUAUAUUUUAUAAUUAUUAUUAUUACGAUUAUCAAUAUAGGUAUAAUGCAUAUUGUCAUUAUAUUUGAGCCGUAUAUUACUAUUAUGUUUGGUAAUAAGUAAAAUAAAAUGUUUAAAAUAAAAUCACAAUUUUAAUCUGAAAUUCGCAUAAUAGUUCAUGAUACUCCCACGUUUUAAAACAACCUUUGCCGAGCUGUGAGUAUAAUAUUCAAUACAAAAAAAUUUAAUUUAAAAUCCCAAAUAGUGUAUGGACCUUUUGAAAAAUAUCAUACUUCACAAUUCACAUUUUAGAACAUUUAUUCACAUCAAAUUUAAAGAUUAACUAGUAAAUUUCUAAAAACCAAUAUUUUUAAAUGCCUAUUUCAAAAUAGGUACAUUAAAAAAAAAAUAAAGAUAAAAAAUGAAAAAUAAUUUUUGAAAUGUAUUUAAAAAAAAAAUAAUAAUUUUAAACUAAACAUAAUAUAGAAAAAUGAACCUUAAUAAUUAUCUCAACUAAUUAAUCGUAACGGUGUUUUGGUAAACAACAGUAUGUAGGUGAUAAAAAGUAUUUUUAUAAAACAAUGAUUGAUAAAAAUUUACAUAAGAUUCCACAAAAACUACAUAAAAGUUGUAAAAUAAAUAGAAAAUAAAAUCGCAAUAUUUUUUAUAGUAAAAUCAAAAACUUUUGCCACAGAUUUACAAUAAUAAUUAUAAUUUCUAACUAUGCACGCCGAUAUGCACCUAUAUUCCAUUAUUUUAUUAUAUCAUCUGGCACAAGUGAUUUAAACUCAAUUUUUUCAUCUUAUCCCACAAACUCCAUUUAUUUAGGGCACCCUCAUGAAAAAAAUUCGAGACGAAGGGAUCUUCAAAAUAUCCAUUACAUUCUUCCCUGGCAUAUCUCAAAUCUUAAUGCUUGUAGAAGCUUCCAGAAACGUUUAAAGUAUUAAGUAUACCAUUCUCAGUUAUAUUAUUAUGUAAUUUGAAAAUAAUAAUAUUCUAUUGCCAUUUAUAGGUACCUUGUAUAUGAUGAAUGUAAAUCUAUAUGACAUAGAUAAUAGAUAAUUUUAUUUAUUUCAUUGUAAAAACUUACUUAAUAAUUGAACAUAAUAUUGUUAAGCACACAGUGUUAAAAUUUAAAAUUUGUGGUUUGUGCGUUCACAAUUAAUAAAUAUUAUUGUAUCGAUUAAUGACUGGUGUUUGUAUGAUGAUAAAUAAUGAUCACGAUAAGUAAUGAUAUUCGAGGCAAUGAAUUGAAUGCCAUACAAAUCUAUUAAAAAAAAAAAUAAAAAACCUAACAUAAUACCUACCUAUUAUGAUUUUUUAAUUUCAUUAAUGAAAAUAUUGUUGAUAGGGAAAAAUUUGUAUAAAUAAAUAGUUGUUUUCAAUAAUAAGAUAAUACCUAGAUACUAAUUUAAAAUAAUUAUGUUAUUUAUAAAUUUUAUUCAACCAAUAAUGCUUUUAAAAAAAUAGUAGGUAGAAUUUUAAAUUAACAUGACUAUUUGUAUAAAUUAAUAAUCAAUGCUUAAAUACAAAAUCAUGUUAAAAAGUAUAAAUAUAUUAUGACUGCAGUAUCUAGAUAUGUUUAAAAUAACCAAUAUGUAAUAUUUUAUUUAGAAUAAAAUAAUUUGUAUUAUAAUUAAUAUGAUUUCUGAAUAAAAUCAUUAAAUAUGGUAAAUUCAUAAAAUUCGUAGAUGUGAUCAAAGCUAAUAAAUACCUAUAUAAUAAUAAUGAGGGCUUGGAUUUGUAAGAAAAUUGCAAAUUUUUAUGUAUAAAAUAUACCUACUUAAAACUAAAUUGUUGAGCGCUAAAAUUUAUACUUGUAUAAAUAUUCAUAUUUCUAAAUAAUUGCAUAUAAAUUGCCUAUUUUUAAAAUUUGUUCUACUUUAAACAGCAGUAUACACUAAUAUUGUACUACGUUAUGUCAUUAUGUAAGAAAAGUUUUUAAGUACAAAAAUAUGCAACGAAAUAAUCUGAUAAUCGUAGAAGUGUUAAACUUGAAAAUCUUAAGUUAAAUUUUUGUAUAAUUUUAUAAAAAUAUAUAUUUAUAAACUCAAUAAUGACUUAUAAUGUAUUUAUAAUUUACGCAUUUUAAGCAUACUAAUCCAGGUCCUAUAAUUACAAUUAUUAAACAAUUACUAAUUUAUUUUUGAACCUUUUGUUCAAUACUUCAAUUUAAGAAAAAUUCUAAAAAUACACGACGUGAUCUUGAAUAUAACAUGUAACAAUAUAAGUAACAUCUAAAAAUAAAGUAAUAAUAUUAAAUAAAUCAGGAAAAUGUAAAUGAGUUCUUUAAAUAACAUCACACAUUACAUUCAUACAAUACCCAGUCACGUAGUUAUACUAAUAUAUAUAUACAUGUAUGAUAUUAAUAAUACAUCAAACUAACUAUAUUAUGUUUCUAAGUGUUGAUUUGUUCAAUUGUUUUAAAACAAAUUCUAUUUAUUUAUUACAAUAAUAGUACCUUCUAAGUUAAUUCAUCGUGUCGAUAGUAAGUUCUGUUAGAAGAAAUAUAAUAUUAUGCUUAUAUGUACUUACAAACUUAUUUUUCUUUCUUAUACAGUUAUAUGCAUAACUGUAGUAAUACAUCAUAUUAUUAUUAUACUAUAGAAACCAAUUAAAUGUUUAACGUCAUCAAUCAUUAUGCUGUAAUAAACCUAUACAAUAUACUAUACAAACAAUAUUAUAUUCUGCUUAUAGUAUUACCAUAGAUCUUUUACUCAUAGACCGGUCCAUCGUAUACUAAAUACAUUAAUAGUUGCAAGCUGACAUAGCGCAAUGAUAUCCGUAGUAAAUAGGUUACCCAUCCCUAUUUAUACGAUAAUUUUUGUACUGUAUCAGAGUAACUCAGAAACCGAAAACCUAUCAUGACACGGUGAAAACGUGAAGAGAGCCGGUCUAUGAGUAAAAGGUCUAUGAGUAUUACAGAUACAAUUAUUAUAAUAAUAUUAUCGAUUAAAUAAAUGAAAUACUAGUAUUAUUA
This is a long non-coding RNA of Aphis gossypii (cotton aphid), 4489 nucleotides long. RefSeq lists it as uncharacterized. The transcript is spliced from 3 exons. The record is from RefSeq and is a predicted model, not a curated record. NCBI's taxonomy places the organism in Eukaryota, Metazoa, Arthropoda, Insecta, Hemiptera, Aphididae.